Molecule: ribosomal RNA, 468 nt
Filed under: uncultured bacterium
Lineage: Bacteria
Description: partial 16S ribosomal RNA
Rfam family: Bacterial small subunit ribosomal RNA
Source: RNAcentral
GAUGAACGCUGGCGGCGUGCUUAACACAUGCAAGUCGAACGGAAAGGCCCAAGCUUGCUUGGGUACUCGAGUGGCGAACGGGUGAGUAACACGUGGGUGAUCUGCCCUGCACUUCGGGAUAAGCCUGGGAAACUGGGUCUAAUACCGGAUAGGACGAUGGUUUGGAUGCCAUUGUGGAAAGUUUUUUCGGUGUGGGAUGAGCUCGCGGCCUAUCAGCUUGUUGGUGGGGUAUUGGCCUACCAAGGCGUCGACGGGUAGCCGGCCUGAGAGGGUGUACGGCCACAUUGGGACUGUGAGACGGCCCAGACUCCUACGGGAGGCAGCAGUGGGGAAUAUUGCACAAUGGGCGCAAGCCUGAUGCAGCGACGCCGCGGGGGGGAUGACAGCCUUCGGGUUGUAAACUCCUUUCGCUAGGGACGAAGCGUUUUUGUGACGGUACCUGGAGAAGAAGCACCGGCUAACUACGUG